RNAcentral lists this ribosomal RNA (468 nucleotides) under uncultured bacterium. RNAcentral describes it as "partial 16S ribosomal RNA". It matches the Rfam family "Bacterial small subunit ribosomal RNA", at positions 28 to 507 of the family's 1533-position model. The record is from RNAcentral.
GACGAACGCUGGCGGCGUGCUUAACACAUGCCAGUCGAACGGAAAGGCCCUGCUUUUGUGGGGUGCUCGAGUGGCGAACGGGUGAGUAACACGUGAGUAACCUGCCCUUGACUUUGGGAUAACUUCAGGAAACUGGGGCUAAUACCGGAUAGGAGCUCCUGCUGCAUGGUGGGGGUUGGAAAGUUUCGGCGGUUGGGGAUGGACUCGCGGCUUAUCAGCUUGUUGGUGGGGUAGUGGCUUACCAAGGCUUUGACGGGUAGCCGGCCUGAGAGGGUGACCGGCCACAUUGGGACUGAGAUACGGCCCAGACUGCUACGGGAGGCAGCAGUGGGGAAUAUUGCACAAUGGGCGGAAGCCUGAUGCAGCAACGCCGCGUGCGGGAUGACGGCCUUCGGGUUGUAAACCGCUUUCGCCUGUGACGAAGCGUGAGUGACGGUAAUGUGUAAAGAAGCACCGGCUAACUACGUG